This 32-nucleotide non-coding RNA is filed under the name Homo sapiens (human). Lineage: Eukaryota; Metazoa; Chordata; Mammalia; Primates; Hominidae. The record is from RNAcentral.
UAUUUGGGUGAUAGAGAGUCUUCAUGAUACUC